Long non-coding RNA from Bombus pascuorum, 700 nucleotides. RefSeq lists it as uncharacterized. Lineage: Eukaryota; Metazoa; Arthropoda; Insecta; Hymenoptera; Apidae. The record is from RefSeq and is a predicted model, not a curated record. The transcript has 3 exons.
UGGAAGAGACGGUUGAUAAGAAGCGUGCGUGCGAGUGGAUUUACGAGGUCUUCGGAGUAUAAUACAUGUGUAUAACUGUUGUGUGUGAAAUAAAGUGAAUUAUUUGAAUUUCCGAAUCCCUCCUAUAUCUUUACAAUAUAUUAUUGCAUCAAUUGAAGCAAGAUGAAGUUUGCAGAACAUCUGUCUGCUCACAUUACGUCUGAAUGGCGUAAGCAAUACAUAAGCUAUGAGGAAAUGAAGGCAAUGCUCUAUACUGCUGGAGAAGAAGCACCGUCAGCUGAAAGUGUUGUUCGUGAUAUUUCGAUCGAUAGAAAGUUCUGAUCAAACGCAAAUUUUGCGUAUCAUGGGUGAAGAAGAAAAUGGUGUACUCAAUAGAGGUAAACGUAAAGUUGGUGGUAAACGACAAGCUACUAGUAAAGAAGACAAACGGGCAUUGCUGAAAGAAGAAACAGUUGAUAUAGAUAUAUCAAAUGCCAGCUAAAAAUAGUUCAAUUGUUUUAUUAUCAGAACCUACGCAAAGCAAUAUUAUUCCAAAUUUAAUGUAAUUUUUAUAUAGGCAAUAGUUUGCCAGAAAAAGUGCAGGUCGUACUUUAUGAACAAUUAAUAUUUCCUUUGUGCAUCAAAAUUGAAGAUUGUGAGGCUGAACUGAACAAGUGCCUUGUAUAUAUCCUGUUUAUUAAACUAUGAAUUUAAUAACUUA